CCAAUUCCAUCUGGCCCCUGCAGGUUGGUUCAGCACUGGGGAAUCAGAGUCCCCUCCAUGACCAAGGCACCACUCCACUGACAGGGUCACAUCUCCCAGGAAGAUCUCACUUCCCCACAGAAGCUCUUGGCCUGGCCUCCUGCAGUGCCACGCUCCGUGUAUUUGACAAGCUGAGUUAGACACUCCGUGUGGUAGAGUGUCAGUUUGUCAAAUACCCCAAGUGCGGCACAUGCUUACCAGCUCCAGGCCAGGGCAGAUGGUAUAUGACGAAUGGACUGCCAGCUGGAUACAAGGAUGCUUACCAAGCACCAAGUUCUCACAAGUUAUUUUACGUGACUCUGCAGGAACUGAGGCAUUAUAUCUGAGGACACCAGGGGAAAAGUGUGGCAUCUCUGGGAAAUACAGCCCUGGGCUGUGUCUACACAUACCAUGAGAGUGCUGAUGGGGGCGCAAUAGUCUUGAAAAUGUAUAAAGCAUCCGGGAAUGGAAGUGCUCUUUGAUUCAUUAUUAUUUUCUUCCUUCAUAUUCGCCUCCCAGAGUCUCCUAUCUAGGACAUCAGAAUUCUCACACAAGCAUCAUGGCUUACCUGAGUAAGCAGGGCUUAGAAAUUCACUUUCUUGAUACUCAGUCUUGCCUUCUAAACACUCCUUGAUCUUGCCUACCUCUCCCCUUUUCCACAUGUCUUUUCCUCUAGGAACACUUUCUCCAUUUAUUCCUGCCUGUCCAAUUCUUCCGUAUAUUUCCUGGACCAGCUAAAGUCCAGUGUUUCCAGAGACUUUUGAAAGUCAACUUAACACUUUUUCCUUCUUUAUUCACAAAGCACUUCUUCCCUGUGCCCUGGUGUGUGCCCCUUUCUCUCCUACUGUCUAAUAGCACCUCUUGAACUGUCAGUGGACUUUUCUAGGGGUAUUCUUGAAUUCCCAACUAGAUUGUGAGCUUCUGGAAGACAAGGCUAUGUCUUUGAUUGUUGUCUCCCCUACCACAGCCCAGUACUUUAGUUACAGAAAAUAAUAAAUAUUUACUGAUUGAU
Molecule: long non-coding RNA, 1030 nt
Organism: Pongo pygmaeus (Bornean orangutan)
Lineage: Eukaryota; Metazoa; Chordata; Mammalia; Primates; Hominidae
Exons: 2
Source: RefSeq, a predicted model, not a curated record